Molecule: non-coding RNA, 30 nt
Filed under: Mus musculus (house mouse)
Lineage: Eukaryota; Metazoa; Chordata; Mammalia; Rodentia; Muridae
Source: RNAcentral
UUCUGAGCUUUAAGGCAGAAAUAAGGUUGU